AUCCGGGUUGCGGACAGUGUCUGGUGGGUAGUUUGACUGGGGCGGUCUCCUCCUAAAGAGUAACGGAGGAGCACGAAGGUUGGCUAAUCCUGGUCGGACAUCAGGAGGUUAGUGCAAUGGCAUAAGCCAGCUUGACUGCGAGCGUGACGGCGCGAGCAGGUGCGAAAGCAGGUCAUAGUGAUCCGGUGGUUCUGAAUGGAAGGGCCAUCGCUCAACGGAUAAAAGGUACUCCGGGGAUAACAGGCUGAUACCGCCCAAGAGUUCAUAUCGACGGCGGUGUUUGGCACCUCGAUGUCGGCUCAUCACAUCCUGGGGCUGAAGUAGGUCCCAAGGGUAUGGCUGUUCGCCAUUUAAAGUGGUACGCGAGCUGGGUUUAGAACGUCGUGAGACAGUUCGGUCCCUAUCUGCCGUGGGCGCUGGAGAACUGAGGGGGGCUGCUCCUAGUACGAGAGGACCGGAGUGGACGCAUCACUGGUGUUCGGGUUGUCAUGCCAAUGGCACUGCCCGGUAGCUAAAUGCGGAAGAGAUAAGUGCUGAAAGCAUCUAAGCACGAAACUUGCCCCGAGAUGAGUUCUCCCUGAGACUU
RNAcentral lists this ribosomal RNA (586 nucleotides) under Salmonella enterica subsp. enterica serovar Infantis. RNAcentral describes it as "bacterial LSU rRNA". It matches the Rfam family "Bacterial large subunit ribosomal RNA", at positions 2238 to 2823 of the family's 2925-position model. Lineage: Bacteria; Pseudomonadati; Pseudomonadota; Gammaproteobacteria; Enterobacterales; Enterobacteriaceae. RNAcentral also lists the same sequence under 55 other names. The record is from RNAcentral.